UACGUAGGGGGCAAGCGUUAUCCGGAUUUACUGGGUGUAAAGGGAGCGUAGACGGCUGCGCAAGUCUGAAGUGAAAGGCAUGGGCUCAACCUGUGGACUGCUUUGGAAACUGUGCAGCUAGAGUGUCGGAGAGGUAAGUGGAAUUCCUAGUGUAGCGGUGAAAUGCGUAGAUAUUAGGAGGAACACCAGUGGCGAAGGCGGCUUACUGGACGAUGACUGACGUUGAGGCUCGAAAGCGUGGGGAGCAAACAGG
Molecule: ribosomal RNA, 253 nt
Filed under: Dorea formicigenerans
Lineage: Bacteria; Bacillati; Bacillota; Clostridia; Lachnospirales; Lachnospiraceae
Description: partial 16S ribosomal RNA
Rfam family: Bacterial small subunit ribosomal RNA
Source: RNAcentral